Molecule: ribosomal RNA, 440 nt
Filed under: uncultured bacterium
Lineage: Bacteria
Description: partial 16S ribosomal RNA
Rfam family: Bacterial small subunit ribosomal RNA
Source: RNAcentral
CCUACGGGUGGCAGCAGUAGGGAAUAUUGCUCAAUGGGGGAAACCCUGAAGCAGCAACGCCGCGUGGAGGAUGAAGGUUUUCGGAUUGUAAACCCCUAUUGUCAGAGAAGAUAAUGACGGUAUCUAACGAAUAAGCACCGGCUAACUCCGUGCCAGCAGCCGCGGUAAUACGUAGGGUGCAAGCGUUACCCGGAAUGACUGGGCGUAAAGAGCGCGUAGGCGGGAUAGCAAGUCAGAUGUGAAAUCCUAUGGCUUAACCAUGGAACUGCAUUUGAAACUGUUCAUCUGGAGUAAAGGAGAGGUAAGGUGAAUUCUUAGUGUAGGGGUGAAAGUCGGAGAGAUUAGGAGGAAAACUAGUUGCGAAGGGGGCCCACUGGAAUCUAACCGAAGGUGAGGCGCGAAAGCGUGGGGAGCAAACAGGAUUAGAUACCCUGGUAGUC